AUCUUUAACAAGCAAAGGCCCUGCCUUUGAUCCUAUGGACAUGAAAACCCUGGUCCUAUUCUGUCUAAGAAGGCCUUUUUCAGUUUUAAAACUGCUUGGUUGUCUCCAAGAGGACACACAGACAGUUACUAACACCUGCACACAAAGACUCAGGCAGAGCCCAUAAGCUCCCGCCAGAGCUGAUCCCGCUCAUCUCCCCAGUCAGUUUAAGGUCAGCAUGGAUCAGACCAAGACUCUUGAGCUUCAUCAGGGCUGUGGCCACCUGCUGCAAGAUUGGUCUUAUGUACUUGAGUGGCAGUGGGCUAAACUUGUUCUGCUUUAGAAAAUCGUACAAGUUCUGCUCCAACAUCUCAAACACGAGGCAGGAGGGGUGGUUCUUCAAGAUCUUAAUGGCCACAAUUUCCUUGGUGCUCCGCUUCCAGCACUUUGCCACCUGUCCAAAUGUCCCUCGGCCUAGGAACUCCAGGACUUCAUAGCUGUUGGUCAUAGAGCAAAGGAUCUCGUGCUGGACCAGCUGGUAAUCCCCUUCUCCGCUGGAACUGCUACUCUUGGUGGUCACAGUGGUGGUCGUGGCAGCAGCACCCACCACGGUUCUGUUCUGCAGCAUGAGAGGGGGAUGUUCUUCUAUGAUCUGCACGCUACCGUUGCUGUCCACUUCCUCACUCUUUCUCUUCAAUCCACAUUUUUGAUAUGGCUCAAGCAAAGAAACGUUGCUCCUGUGAGUCAGGGUCUGGCUGCUUU
RNAcentral lists this long non-coding RNA (741 nucleotides) under Mus pahari (shrew mouse). RNAcentral's name for it is "lncRNA (MGP_PahariEiJ_G0003501.1)". Lineage: Eukaryota; Metazoa; Chordata; Mammalia; Rodentia; Muridae. The record is from RNAcentral.